Molecule: ribosomal RNA, 425 nt
Filed under: uncultured bacterium
Lineage: Bacteria
Description: partial 16S ribosomal RNA
Rfam family: Bacterial small subunit ribosomal RNA
Source: RNAcentral
GUUAGGAAUAUUGGACAAUGGGCGCAAGCCUGAUCCAGCCAUGCCGCGUGAGUGAUGAAGGCCUUCGGGUUGUAAAGCUCUUUAGUCCACGAAUAUAAUGACUGUAGUGGAAGAAUAAGCCCCGGCUAACUUCGUGCCAGCAGCCGCGGUAAUACGAAGGGGGCGAGCGUUAUUCGGAAUCACUGGGCGUAAAGCGUGCGUAGGCUGUUUUGUAAGUCAGAAGUGAAAGCCCAGGGCUUAACCCUGGAAUUGCUUUUGAAACUACAAGACUCGAAUUCGGGAGAGGAUAGCGGAGUUGUCAGUGUAGCAGUGAAAUGCGUAGAUAUUGACAGGAACACCAGUGGCGCAAGCGGCUAUCUGGACCGAUAUUGACGCUGAGGCACGAAAGCGUGGGGAGCAAACAGGAUUAGAAACCCGAGUAGUCC